UCAGCCGCCGCGGUAACACCGGCAGCUCUAGUGGUAGCCAUUUUUAUUGGGCCUAAAGCGUUCGUAGCCGGUUUGAUAAGUCUCUGGUGAAAUCCUAUAGCUUAACUGUGGGACUUGCUGGAGAUACUAUUAGACUUGAGGUCGGGAGAGGUUAGCGGUACUCCCAGGGUAGGGGUGAAAUCCUGUAAUCCUGGGAGGACCACCUGUGGCGAAGGCGGCUAACUGGAACGAACCUGACGGUGAGGGACGAAAGCCAGGGGCGCGAACCGGAUUAGAUACCCGGGUAGUCCUGGCCGUAAACGAUGUGGACUUGGUGUUGGAAUGGCUUCGAGCUGCUCCAGUGCCGAAGGGAAGCUGUUAAGUCCACCGCC
Molecule: ribosomal RNA, 371 nt
Filed under: uncultured archaeon
Lineage: Archaea
Description: bacterial SSU rRNA
Rfam family: Archaeal small subunit ribosomal RNA
Source: RNAcentral